GAUGAACGCUAGCUACAGGCUUAACACAUGCAAGUCGAGGGGUAACAAGAGAAAAGCUUGCUUUUCUUGUUGACGACCGGCGCACGGGUGAGUAACGCGUAUCCAACCUGCCUAUAACUAGGGAAUAACCUUGCGAAAGUAAGACUAAUGCCCUAUGACUUCCUUUGGCGGCAUCAAAAAAGGAAUAAAGAUUUAUCGGUUAUAGAUGGGGAUGCGUCUGAUUAGCUUGUUGGCGGGGUAACGGCCCACCAAGGCAACGAUCAGUAGGGGUUCUGAGAGGAAGGUCCCCCACAUUGGAACUGAGACACGGUCCAAACUCCUACGGGAGGCAGCAGUGAGGAAUAUUGGUCAAUGGGCGGAAGCCUGAACCAGCCAAGUAGCGUGCAGGAUGACGGCCCUAUGGGUUGUAAACUGCUUUUAUACAGGGAUAAAGUUAGCCACGUGUGGUUAUUUGCAGGUACUGUAUGAAUAAGGACCGGCCAACUACGUGCCAGCCGCCGCGGUAA
RNAcentral lists this ribosomal RNA (506 nucleotides) under uncultured bacterium. RNAcentral describes it as "partial 16S ribosomal RNA". It matches the Rfam family "Bacterial small subunit ribosomal RNA", at positions 28 to 523 of the family's 1533-position model. The record is from RNAcentral.